This 493-nucleotide ribosomal RNA is filed under the name uncultured bacterium. RNAcentral's name for it is "partial 16S ribosomal RNA". It matches the Rfam family "Bacterial small subunit ribosomal RNA", at positions 27 to 507 of the family's 1533-position model. The record is from RNAcentral.
GAGUGAACGCUGGCGGUAGGCCUACCCCAUGCAAGUCGAACGGCAGCCCAGUAAGAGCUUGCUCUUACGGGUGGCGAGUGGCGGACGGGUGAGGAAUACAUCGGAAUCUACUUUUUCGUGGGGGAUAACGUAGGGAAACUUACGCUAAUACCGCAUACGACCUACGGGUGAAAGCAGGGGAUCUUCGGACCUUGCGCGAUUGAAUGAGCCGAUGUCGGAUUAGCUAGUUGGCGGGGUAAAGGCCCACCAAGGCGACGAUCCGUAGCUGGUCUGAGAGGAUGAUCAGCCACACUGGAACUGAGACACGGUCCAGACUCCUACGGGAGGCAGCAGUGGGGAAUAUUGGACAAUGGGCGCAAGCCUGAUCCAGCCAUACCGCGUGGGUGAAGAAGGCCUUCGGGUUGUAAAGCCCUUUUGUUGGGAAAGAAAAGCAGCAGGUUAAUACCCCGCUGUUCUGACGGUACCCAAAGAGUAAGCACCGGCUAACUUCGUG